GGGGUAUUUGCAUAUCUUUCGUAUUCACUUGCACUGCUUUAUCAAAAAAUAAUGUCCUUGGCAAUUUGAAUCCCAGUCUUUAAGAUAACACAUCUGUGUUUAUGAAUUACCAGGAGUCUUUUUGUUUUUUGUUUGUUGCUUUUGUUGCUGCUUGUUUUUGUAUUCUUUCUGGUAAUGGGACUAACUCCUUUUUACUUUGAAUUUGUAUUACACUGUAUCCACAGAGAAAUUUCACAAGUGUCUUUUACAUUAUUUUAACAAUCACCCCCCCACCACCUACAACUUUAAAUUAAAUAUCAUGAUCCAUUAUUUCCAGCACUUGUUGCCCACCUAACAUGUACCAGACUCCUUAUUUAAUGCUUUCACCAGGAUAUUUAAUUUCAUCUUAAAAUUAUCCUUUAAAUACAAAGACAUAGGAUCUGAGAGAGUAAGUAAUUUGCCCAAUGGCACCCAGUUAGGAAGUGGUGGGAUAGGGGUUCUAACUCAGUUCUGCCUAAUCUAAUUCCUGAUUGUUUCUCCCAAUCAGAAUGCAGUCUGAAAUGAUGCUCUUUUUUAGCGCUGUGCUAGCAGGAAGGUCUGUGAAGUUUGCAAUAAAGCCAUUAUGAAGUCAAGAAUGGAGGUUCCAUUUUUAAAGAACUCAGAGGGGGUAGAUCUUGAUUGACAUCUCAUCUGGGGUCACCUGGUCUUCAACUGAGAGAUCUUUUGGUUCGCCACGGAUGCCCCUUGCAGUUAUGGAAGUUCACUCUUUGAGAGAGAGAUAAAUAAACAUUAAAAUGUAAAGAAAAAAAAAAUCAGCAAUGGAAGGAAAAAGGAACAAAAAGCAAUCCAUUGGCGUCAAGCUUGACUGGACCACUCCACUGCUCUGCUGCCGUUAGUGAACCUGACCCUGCAGCAGGAGUCACAGACUCACCACUCACCUCAAGUCCUCACUCCCUGGACCCUCAAUCUACACAUCACUUUGUCUUUUAUUUCCCUGAGAAAUACAGGCCAUCAGUUUGCAGAUCCCUCCUUUCCCCUUACCCUGCAAAUCUCCAUCUAUUUGGAAAAGUGUGCCUCCUACAUUCCAAAGCUAACCCCUCCUCCUCUGCCACUAAUAUCAGCCCUACCUGCCUUCUUCUGUAACUUGCUCCAUUAAUUCCCUCCCCUCUCCCCCAGGUCUCCCUGCCUAUGAACAUAUUCAAGGACAUCAUAUCUUAAAAACAAACAAAUAUCAGGCACAAUGGCUCACACCUGUAAUCCCAGCACUUUGAGAGGUCAAGGCAGGAGAAUCACUUGAAUCCAGGGGUUCAAGACCAGCCUGGGAAACAUAGGGAGACCCUAUCUCUACAAAAAAUAUUUUUUAAAAAAAUUAGCCAGGUGUGGUGGUGUGCACCUGUAGUCCCAACUACUCAGAAGGCUGGGGUGGGAGAAAUAUUUCAGCCCAGGACGUCACUGUGCACAAUUGCUUUACUUUUUUUUCCCUUGGUAUAGACUUGUUGAAGAGUAAGCCUUCAUGUACUGUUUCCUCACUUUACAUUCACUCUCAACUGGAGACAAUAUAGAGUCUUCGCAGAUGCAGCUUUCUCCAGACCAACAAUGUGGUUAGACAUCUGGUUUUUCAUUGUUGUUGUUUGAUUUCUCUGACUAGCUUCCCUGACCAGAGGUCGUUUUGAGUUUCCUUCUCUGGAAUUUGACCACUGAGCAGAGACACAUAGGAGAGAAGACGUGAAUGCUGAGUCAUCAAUCAGCAUCACUGGGAAGAAAAAGCCUCUCAGUUUCUUCUGCUGGGACUCCCAGAGCUGGAGUAUUUUCUGCUCUUCCUAAGGCCUGGUAAUUCAGCUCUUUGUGAGACUGUGAGCUUUACCAUACCCUUCCAGUAGCAACCUUCUUCUUUUUUAAGUUCAUUGCGGGGAAUAGGGAGUGAUGGCUGAUGGACAUAGGGUUUCUUUUUGGGGUGACAAAAAUCUUCUAAAAUUAAGUGGUGGUGAUGGUUGCACAAUUUUGAAUAUACUAAAAACCGUGAAUUCUAAAGUUUAAACAGGUGAAUUCUGUGCUAUAUAAAUUGUAUCUCAAUGAAAUUACUAAUAUUCUAAAGCCUCCCAAGUGACUUAGAUGUUCGGUGAGUGUUGAAAGCCAGUUAUUUAUCACAUCCUUAAGUCCUGCUACCUUUCUCUCACUCUCUAAGUUCAGUUUCCUCUUUGGUUUGACUUGGACCAAUCUGCAACAACUCUUGAUGUUUCUUGUAAAUUCUAUGACUAACUCCCAGAGCUUCUCCUGUCUAUCUGAUACGCAUUUAGCUUCUCCUUUCAGGCCUCAAACAGCAUGUUUAGAACAGAACUGAUCUUCUUCUCCCCAACCUGCUUUACCUUUUCUAUUUCUCACUCAGUUACUGGCACAAACUUCUCCAUAUAUGUUUAAGAAGACCUCUACUUUGACUUUCCCUGCUCCUUCUAACUUACAUCCAAUUAAUCAAAACGUUGUAUCAGUUUUAUUUCUGAAACAAUCUCUCCCAUCUUCCUUAUCUCUUCAUUCCACUGCCAGGUCUGAGUCCACCCUUUACUAUUUUCUGUUGGAUUAAGGCAAACCUCCUGUAAAGAGCUGCCCUGUCUCCUGCAGUCUCAUCCUCCAGUACCCCUUCAUGCCUACACUGAAGUCCUCUUCCUAAAACAGGAAUAGGGUUAACUCACUCACCUCCCCUAAACCUGUUAGUGGCUCUGCACUGAGUACUGGAUCAAGUCUAAUGUAAUGAGAAGGCCCAUUCAAUCUGGGCCAAACUUUCCUUCUUAGCCUAGUGUCCUCCUAUGCCCCCUGCACAGACCUUAGCUCCAAUCACACUAACCCAUGCCAUUACCUGGACACACUGUGCUAGUCUACACUCACGUGCCCCCAGCUCACAUCUCCCCUUUUCCUGGAAUGCCAUGUCCAUAUGGCCUGGAGAAUGACCUAAAGUUAGUGCCAGCAGAGAGCUUAUCAGUAGUGGGGCAGAUCACAGGGGAGAGCAGGUUUUGGAGCUAGGGUGAGGUGUCAAUGAGAAGAAGGGUGAUUUAUUAAGAAGUAAGCUCAUUUCAAGCCAUACACCUGAAACCUGACGCCCAAAGAGGAGGCAGAGACCCAAUCAACUACUGAUACAGUUUGUGAGGCUGGAGACUUGAGAGAACAAUAGGUUGAGGCAAGUGUAACCAAUGGAUUAAUUCCUUACCAAUCUAGGAUUCCUGGAGCGUGGAGUGCUCCAGGCCUGGUGGCACCAAGACUUUAAAAAGAAAAACCAUUACACAGUGAGAUUUGGUCUCUACACAAAAUUUAAAAAUUAGUGUGGUGUGGUCGCACACAACUGUAGUAACAGCUACUCAGGAGGCUGAGGUGGGAGGAUCGCUUGAGCCCAGGAGUUUGAGGCUUCUAGGAGUUUGAGGCUUGCUAUGUUGCUCAGGCUGACCUCCAGCUCCCGGGCUCAAGAGAUUCUCCCGCCUCAGCCUCCUGUGUUGUUGGGACUACAGGCACGCACCACCAUGCCCUGCUGGUUAGCUGUUUUUAAAAAUUAUUUUUAAAGCAUCAUUAAAUUUCUCAUACUGAAAAAAAUGGCCUGGAUACUUUAAGAAGAAUAAGACAGAUUUGAGCAUUCAGCAAUCAUAGCUGAACUUCCUAAGAGACUAUAGCAAGCUGGUUACUAGGGAAAUUGUUUUUUUCCUUACUGAAAAAAAAUCCGGUGUUAAUAUAUCAUUUUAGAUGUGUAAUGUUUAGGGGUCCUUAUUGUUCAAGGAAUAUAAAGUAAGAGGGGCCGUCUCUCAUUGUAUAAUAUAAAACAAAAAAGAAAAAGUAUUGAUCUCAGAGAGAAAGUAAAUUGUAGCUAAAUUAGAGGAAGAAAAUCAUGCCUCUUAUUUAUCCUUGACUCCCCACUGACCAGCACAGUGCUCAAGAAAUUUAUUAAAUGAAAAAAGAAUCAGAAAAAAAAUUAAAGGAAGAAAAAGAGGAAGGAAGAAAGUUAGGAAGGGAGGGAACAUAUCUUAAAAGAAACUGUAAACCAGUCUGUUCUGGUUUUUUUUUUUCCCCUCCUAGUUGCCAAUUGAAGUUUCUUCUUAAAAAUAACCCUAUGUCAACUGAACUAAGUUAAAACGUGCUAACCUGGGAAAGAUAAAAAGAAACAUUAUGUCUCUAUAGGUUCUUUGUGAUGAAACAAAUCCGCCUCAACCCAGAACACUAGCAAAGCGUGGGGUAAGGCAAAUAAGACUUAAAAAUUUUGAUGAUUUGUAGAAAACAGAAGUUCACAGUUCAGCAGUUCCUUCUUGCUUGGGAUGAUCUUCACAACACCAGCCCCCAAAUGGAAGGGUAACUAACUGCUCCAGUUCAGUUGGCUACCUUGUGAGGCUGGCAUCCAUUCCUAGCAAAAAUGGGCAGAAAUGGGGAAAUGCCUCCCCUUAAGACCAUAGCUUUUCACCUUGACCUUCCUCCAUUUUAUCUACUCCAGAAGGUCUCCACCAAGCUCCCAGCAGCACAGCAUGCUCAAAACCUGACAUAUCCAUGGUAACUUUUCACAGCAAUGUGAUGAAAUUUGAGAAACAAACCAGAAAUGUAAUGUGAUCACCCACAUCAUAUCAGCCUCACAGGCAAUCAAGAGCUUGGCUUCAAUUACAAAAUGAACUCCAGAAAUCUUCCAACAGUUAGUCAAUCCCAGCCUUUCACAUGAAAAUGUAUUUAAUUUACAUAAUACUGUGAAGAAGGUAUUGUUAUGAUCCUCACUUUGCAGCCUAUGGAAGUAGGGAUUAGUCCUUGAUGAAGAGUCAGAAGAUGUAUGUACUUUCAAAAGUGAUUUAAUAUGGAAACUGGAAAAAAAUUAUAAAACAUGUAAUGGAAUCCUAAAUAGGAUACUGAUAAGGUUUGGCUCUGUGUCCCCACCAAAGUCUCACCUUGAAUUGUAAUAAUCCCCACGUGUCAAAGGCAGGUCCAGGUGGAGAUAAUUGAAUCAUAGGGGUGGUUUUCCCCAUACUGUUAUGAUAGUGAGUUCUCAUGAGAUCUGAUGGUCUUAUAAGGGGCUUUCCCCCUUUUGCUCAGCACUUCUCCUUGCUGCUGCUGUGUGAAGAAGGAUGUGUUUUCUUCCUCUUCCUCCGUGAUUGUAAGUUUCCUGAGGCCUCCUCAGCAAUGCUGAACUGUGAGUCAAUUAAAUCUCUUUCCUUUACAAAUUAACCAGUCUUGGGUAUGUCUUUAUUAGCAGCAUAAGAACAGACUAAUACAGAUACCCAAAGUCAUUGGUAUUAGGACAAAGGAGCAGAAAUUCAUAAAGGAAAGACAGAGACACAGAGAGAUGGCUGACUUUUUUCUUAAUGCCAGGUUUUAGAAAUGAAAGUAUUUAAGGCUUUGAUAAUAUAUAUUAUCAAAUUAUAUUUCAAAGUGUGGUAAUAAUCUACAGUCCUUCCCAAAAGUCCUGAAAAUGUUUAUUUCAUUUCAUUAGAUAUGAUACAUUUAAAAGUCCUUAAACCUUGAUACACAAGAAUAUAUACAAAUAAUUUUGCACUUUCUUCAACAUUUUCUUGUAUGUGUGAUAAAUACAUUUCCUAUUCUGUGUAUUAUCAUUAUGGUUUUUAUACUUUUCAUGUUUUAAUAUUUUAAAUUAUUUUAUAACAAACGUAUUAACCUUUAAAAAGAAGACAAAUGUAGACUGUCUUUAAUUACAUUCUGCAUUAGAAACCAUAAAUAUUUUAGCAUUCAAAUUCAUGCAGUCGAGAAGAGUCUUAAAAAAUUCUGUAGGUGUUCAAAUGAAAAUAUAAAGAGAUUGGAGAAAAAUUGAUCUCAAGCAAGAGAGAGAAUAAAAAUCACUCGUAAGAAGUAUAGGUGUUCUCAUGGCUAAAUUUGGCAGUGGUGGUAAAAAUGGGAGGUGUAGAUAAGAAGAUUUCAAAUAGAAGAAAUAAUCAAGAAUAUAUCCUUAAAACGCUGAGUUGAAACAUAAAACUGAAAUACCAUUAUAUAGGUGAUUCUAUUAUGCAACCAGAGUUGAGAACCACAGAUCUCAUUGAUUUAUGCAGUCCUUUCCAUCAAGAACCCUCUCUGACUUUAAAUUCAAUGUAUCAGUACAUUGAUAUUUUAUCACAUCCACUUCCUUUCUGUCCGUAGUCACCUUGGAUGGACAGUUUACACAAUAAUUUGUAGAAAUAAUAAUAAUAAAAUAAUGUGGAGAAGAGUUUCCACAAUAAUUUUUGGAAUUUAAUGAUUUUGACAUUACACAUAGUCUUAAUGGUUUGAUAGAAACAAAUGUGUGACUUGAUAAAAGAUCAGCUGAUCUCAUGAAUUCUUAAACACAGCUCUUUAAGGAAUUUUUCCUUUUAUAAGGAAUCAUCAUCUUAGAAAAACAUUUAAGCUUUUAAUAUCAUUGGACUUGCUAUUAUUUUUAGUUUAUGAAUUUUUUUAAAAAAAUUAGAAAUGAAUUAAAAUUAAUGGCAGAAAUACCUUCAAAUACUUUCACACUGACUAAUCUGAAUGGGGUUAGGGACAGAUGACAGCAACUCAAAAUGACACAGAGGAAGAAACUUCAGACUUCCUGGGGAUUUUCUGGUAAACUCUGACUAAAAACUAACUCCUCUGAUUGUGCAGCAAUGUUCCCUGCUAACAUAGCCUUCCUUUUGGACUACCAGCUUUUUUUUUUUUUUUUUUUUUUGAAACAGAAUCUCACCUUGUCACCCAGGCUGGAGUGCAAUGGCAUAAUCUCAGCUCACUGCAACCUCUGUCUCCCAGGCUCAAAUGAUUCUCCUGCCUCAGCCUCCUGAGUAGCUGGGAUUACAGGCGCCCAUGGACUACCAGCUUUUUAAGUAGACUUUUUAGCCAAAGGCCAAGGGAAACUACCCUCUUCCUACUGGGGUUCAAAUUGAUUAAAAUGGUUUGCUUUGACUUUUGUUGAAGUCUCUUUAUUUUCUUUUUAAGAUUAUGUUAAAUUAUAAUCCACAUUGGCUUUCUUUUUACAGGUAAACUUUUUCUCUUCUAGAUUUCUAGACGGCCUUCCCCCACUUCGCUUCUCUCUCUGCCAUUUUCCUCCCCUCUCCCGCCUCCCCAAGUUAGAAGAGGCUGACAAAAAGAGGCUCAUCAAAGUUAAAUGUUGCCAACAUAAAUUGGUCCCUCUUCUCUUCCUUGAUGUGACUGGUCUCUCAACCUAUUGAUGGCAUCCAGUUCCAACUUUCCUCUUCUCAUUUGGGACAUUGGGAGGAGAGUAGUCUCUAUUUUUAAUAACAAAGUAG
This 7196-nucleotide long non-coding RNA is filed under the name Homo sapiens (human). RNAcentral's name for it is "HSALNT0042750". Lineage: Eukaryota; Metazoa; Chordata; Mammalia; Primates; Hominidae. The record is from RNAcentral.